UUUGUUUUUUUUUUUUUUUUUUUUUUUACGGAGGAAAAGAAACCAACAGGGAUUGCCUUAGUAGCCGGCGAGUGAAGCCGGCAAAGGCUCAAAUUUGAAAUCUGGCUCUUUCAGAGUCCGAGUUGUAAUUUGAAGAAGGUAUCUUUGGGUCUGGCUCUUGUCUAUGUUUCUUGGAACAGAACGUCACAGAGGGUGAGAAUCCCGUGCGAUGAGAUGAUCCAGGCCUAUGUAAAGUUCCUUCGAAGAGUCGAGUUGUUUGGGAAUGCAGCUCUAAGUGGGUGGUAAAUUCCAUCUAAAGCUAAAUAUUGGCGAGAGACCGAUAGCGAACAAGUACAGUGAUGGAAAGAUGAAAAGAACUUUGAAAAGAGAGUGAAAAAGUACGUGAAAUUGUUGAAAGGGAAGGGCUUGAGAUCAGACUUGGUAUUUUGUAUGUUACUUCUUCGGGGGUGGCCUCUACAGUUUAUCGGGCCAGCAUCAGUUUGGGCGGUAGGAGAAUUGCGUUGGAAUGUGGCACGGCUUCGGUUGUGUGUUAUAGCCUUCGUCGAUACUGCCAGCCUAGACUGAGGACUGCGGUUUAUACCUAGGAUGUUGGCAUAAWGWUCUUAAGUCGCCCGU
RNAcentral lists this ribosomal RNA (615 nucleotides) under Candida tropicalis. RNAcentral's name for it is "partial 26S rRNA". It matches the Rfam family "Eukaryotic large subunit ribosomal RNA", at positions 1 to 652 of the family's 3401-position model. The record is from RNAcentral. Lineage: Eukaryota; Fungi; Ascomycota; Pichiomycetes; Serinales; Debaryomycetaceae.